AUGCGGCCGGCCGAAGUUUCGGCCGGCACGCCGAUUUUAAACGUUUCCCUACUUAAACUCCCUAAGGCCUCAGCCAAAGCAGCAGCACACACACAACACAAUACAAUGGGGCGCGCUUCUCAGCUUACAGAGCUCCUACACCAACAAUGGCAGCUCCUUGUAUUCAUUCUCCCACUUAUCUCCCUCCUCUUCCUACGCCGGAGAUGGGACAGGUCCGGUGGCCUUAGGCUGCCACCAGGGCCCUGGAAGCUGCCCGUCGUCGGCAACCUCCAUCAGAUCGGCCCGUUGCCCCACCGGAGCCUCUCGAAGCUCGCGAGGCGGCACGGGCCGGUCAUGAUGCUGCGCCUGGGCACGGUUCCGACGGUGGUGCUGUCCUCGCCGGAGGCCGUGCGGGAGGCUCUAAAGGUGCACGACGCGGAGUGCUGCAGCCGGCCUCCCGCGGCCGGGCCGCGUCUGCUGUCGUACGGCUACAAGGACGUCGCCUUCUCCCCCUACAGCGACUACGUCCGCGACAUGCGCAAGCUUUUCAUCGUCGAGCUGCUCAGCCGCCGCCGCGUGCAGGCCGCUUGCUACGCUCGCGAUACCCAGAUGGCAAAUCUUGUGAAGAACCUCACCAAUACCGGUCGAAAGCCAGUGGCGGUUGCCGACCACAUCUUUGCCACGCUGGACGGGAUCAUCGGCUCUUUCGCCUUUGGCGAAAACUACGGGGCGGAGCAGUUCAAGGGGCAGUUUGUCCCUGUGCUGAACGAGACCAUGGACAUGCUGAGCGGCUUCUCUACCGAGGACUUCUUUCCCAACAGCGUCGGUCGCCUCAUCGACAAAGUUACGGGCAUUAAGUCCCGUCGAGAGAGGAUCUUCAAGAAGAUUGAUGCCUUCUUUGAACAAGUCAUCGACAAGUGCGUCGGCGACAAUCCCAGUCGCAGAAGGCAGCCCGGUGACGAGUGCGCAUCUGUACUCGUGCAAGAGCUUGUGGACCUUUGGAAAAAUCCUGCAGGAGCCACCAACAGCUUCACAAGGGAACAUGCCAAGGCCAUCCUCAUGAACACUUUCGUCGGUGGCAAUCACACUAGCUCGGUGACAAUAAACUGGGCAAUGGCGGAGCUAAUUCGGCAGCCAAGGAUGCUCGGUAAGGUACAAGACGAAAUCAGGGCCAUCGGAGGCAAGACAGAGCUCCUGCAGCACGACGACAUGCCCAAGCUCAAAUACCUGAAGAUGGUGGUGAAGGAGACGCUGCGGCUGCAUCCCCCGGCAACGUUGCUCGUCCCGAGGGAGACCACGGGGCGGAUUCGGGUCGCAGGAUAUGACAUCCCAGCAAAGACAAAGAUCAUCGUGAAUGCAUGGGCUAUCGGUCGGGAUCCCAGCGUGUGGAAUGAUGAUCCAAAGGAAUUUCGCCCGGAAAGGUUUCAGGACAAGGAUGUUGACUUCAAUGGGGCACAUUUCGAGCUUUUGCCGUUUGGCUCAGGACGACGGAUCUGCCCUGGAUUGGCCAUGGGCGUGGCCAAUGUCGAGUUCAUCUUGGCCAACUUGCUCUACUGCUUCAACUGGGAGCUCCCUGAUGGGGUGAGCUGUGAGGAUAUCAACAUGGAGGAGGCAGGGGCACUGACUUUCCGAAAGAAGACGCCACUCAUGCUGGUACCGACAAGGUACAGUAUGUGUCCUUGA
This 1662-nucleotide ribosomal RNA is filed under the name Triticum aestivum (bread wheat). RNAcentral's name for it is "partial small subunit ribosomal RNA". Lineage: Eukaryota; Viridiplantae; Streptophyta; Magnoliopsida; Poales; Poaceae. The record is from RNAcentral.